Oncorhynchus masou masou (cherry salmon) is the source of this 458-nucleotide long non-coding RNA. RefSeq lists it as uncharacterized. The transcript is spliced from 3 exons. NCBI's taxonomy places the organism in Eukaryota, Metazoa, Chordata, Actinopteri, Salmoniformes, Salmonidae. The record is from RefSeq and is a predicted model, not a curated record.
CCCGCGUAAACAAAGCUCGCUAGCUAACUUUUGACAGAAGGAGAAGGAACCAGUAUGAACAAAACAUAGCAACGAAUGAUUUGCCGGACUCAGAUCAAGCUGCAAGUCCUGCCUCUCCCAUCUCCUCAUUGGUUUAUAGAAGCAGAUACCCACGUGCCAUCUCUGCAUUGGUUAUACCCACGUGGGUGAUUGAAAGAUGAACUGUGUUGCAGGUUGUCGUGGUAAUACUGUGAAAGUUUAAAUGCCCUUCACCAUAUAAGUUCAAAGAUGAAAAAGCCUGGAAGGAGGAGAGAUGACUAGAAACGAUUCGGUUGACCAUUUUAUGUGUGGAUUAAUUGUCGGGGUAGAGGACCUUGUGCAUUUCAGGUUCAAGAGCAGGGCCCAUAAAUCAAAGAGGUGGAUGAGGAGCCUUAGAGAAGCGCGGGACCAGUGAGGGCACCAGAGGUCCCACAGUACUU